CCCGCGGGGUGGGCUGACUGGCGCUGACUGGCCAGAGCCACUCGCACCAGGAAGACGCCGGCCAAUCGGCUGCGGGAUGAGUCUGGCGUGACGACCACUCCGUGGGAGCUGACUGGAGCGGAAGUAGUAGGCGGGCGAACGGAACGGGAUUGGUGCUUCUCGCGAGGCAGCCCUUCGUUUUCUUCUGCUCGCUCCGAGCGCGGGGGACCGAGCCCCAACGCCCCAAGCCCGCGGGCCGGCGCCCGCCACCUGUAAGGGCCAACGGGCCUGCCUAUAAGCCCUCUACGCGGGUAGUCGUCGUAUUUGUCCUGCCGGCUACGCUGGCUCCUCGGCGACGCGCUCGGCUCGCGGCCGCGCCCCGCCUGUGCGGGGUCCGCGCGCGGCUGCGGAGCGGCUUACCCAUCACAGCUCAGGCGGAAUCCCCUGCUUCAGGAAUCAUUUUCUGAGGCUCCCUGGCCUCUCCUUUUUCUGUUCUUUACAUUCAACAAAUAUCUACUGAACACUGACUACGUGGCAGACCCUGGAAACAACAAAGAUGAGCAAGACGUGGUUCCACCCCAAAGAGCUUCCAGAGACACCAGACCAGAGGAAGAAACAGACGCAGGGACCACGGGCAGGCUGCUCCAGGGUGUGCCAUCGUGGCAUGCAGAUAAUUGAGCUGAAAACCACCAAGGCCCCAGACUUUCUUCAAGUUUCCAAUGUAAUGUCCAUCUUUCCACCUGCUACGUGACUGACCACCGUGCCAUGAGGACAGCUCCUGAAUCGGUGCCCCAGCCCAGCCUGCAUCUGUGGGGGGCCUACUUCUUAAUUUUGUGGUCCCCACAGUCAAGAUCAACACGUCUCAUCUGGCCUUCGCCCACAAACCCUACUUAUCUCUCCCUAUUGAUCCUCCCCCACCCAGCAGCAACCAGUGGGUGGCCACCUCCAUCUCUCAGGUGCACCUGGGCCAUCUCCAGCCCCUUGGCCUCAGCCCUCAUCCCCACAUCGCACCAGCUGACACCUACAGAGCCCGUCCUGGGCUGACCCUGGCCUCCUCCUCCUUCCCACUUCCACUGCUGUUUCUAAGCCAACGCUUCUCUUAAAAAAUGUAGCAUUUUUCUCUCCUUUCCUACGAGUCACAGUGGGUGCAGUGGCACCAGCCCGCCAUGUCUGUACAGCCUCCCUAUCCUGUCCCCUCCUGUCCCCUGGACCCCACUUUUCUGAUAAAAUGUUGACUUAUAGACACUGUCUUUGCCCCAGCUUAUGCCUAGCAUUUCAUGCUUAUCUGAUCUCAUAUGAGUUAGAAAGGUAAAUAUAAAUUAAGGGAAAACAUUUAUACAUACACACACACACACACAUAUACAUAUACAUAUUUUCACAUAAAUAUGUAUAGGCAUAUGUGCAAGAGUGCAUAGGUAUAUUCUUCUAGAUACAAAUAGCAAUCUAUUACUCAAAAUACUUUCACAGCAUCUGGUCUAGAAGUGGGGUUUUAAAACUAAGUUUUAAAAAAAAAUAGGCAUGUAGUAACUACAUUGUUUUUUCAUGUGAAACCUUCAUAAGUGUAUAUCAAUAGUACCUUAAGAAAAACUUAAAUAAAUAAAAAAAAAUAG
Molecule: long non-coding RNA, 1589 nt
Organism: Manis javanica (Malayan pangolin)
Lineage: Eukaryota; Metazoa; Chordata; Mammalia; Pholidota; Manidae
Source: RefSeq, a predicted model, not a curated record